RNAcentral lists this non-coding RNA (183 nucleotides) under Aquabacterium sp. RNAcentral describes it as "6S RNA". It matches the Rfam family "6S / SsrS RNA". Rfam says of the family: E. coli 6S RNA was the first non coding RNA to be sequenced, but its function was unknown until recently. RNAcentral also lists the same sequence under 1 other name. The record is from RNAcentral. Lineage: Bacteria; Pseudomonadati; Pseudomonadota; Betaproteobacteria; Burkholderiales; Sphaerotilaceae.
UCUCGUCCGUCGCGUUCGUGGAAGCCUUUAUUUCCUUGAACCGAUGCUCUUUGAGCUAGGGCAUGGAACAUCGCCAGGUAGGUGUGAUCGUCUCGCGUCAGAUGAACCCGAAGCCUCGCUGACCUCGCCCACCUGAAUCCCCUGGGUUCAGGAAUGCGGCGACCGGCUCGCGGCGGACCCUUA